AUUGAACGCUGGCGGCAGGCUUAACACAUGCAAGUCGAGCGGGGUGAUGGUGCUUGCACUAUCACUUAGCGGCGGACGGGUGAGUAAUGCUUAGGAAUCUGCCUAUUAGUGGGGGACAACAUCUCGAAAGGGAUGCUAAUACCGCAUACGUCCUACGGGAGAAAGCAGGGGAUCACUUGUGACCUUGCGCUAAUAGAUGAGCCUAAGUCGGAUUAGCUAGUUGGUGGGGUAAAGGCCUACCAAGGCGACGAUCUGUAGCGGGUCUGGGAGGAUGAUCCGCCAAACUGGGGCGGGGACACGGCCCAGACUCCUACGGGAGGCAGCAGUGGGGAAUAUUGGACAAUGGGGGGAACCCUGAUCCAGCCAUGCCGCGUGUGUGAAGAAGGCCUUAUGGUUGUAAAGCACUUUAAGCGAGGAGGAGGCUCUUUUGGUUAAUACCCAAGAUGAGUGGACGUUACUCGCAGAAUAAGCACCGGCUAACUCUGUGCCAGCCGCCGCAGUAA
RNAcentral lists this ribosomal RNA (503 nucleotides) under uncultured bacterium. RNAcentral describes it as "partial 16S ribosomal RNA". It matches the Rfam family "Bacterial small subunit ribosomal RNA", at positions 30 to 523 of the family's 1533-position model. The record is from RNAcentral.